RNAcentral lists this transfer RNA (73 nucleotides) under Rikenellaceae bacterium. Its description in RNAcentral is "tRNA-Gly". It matches the Rfam family "tRNA". Rfam says of the family: Transfer RNA (tRNA) molecules are approximately 80 nucleotides in length. Their secondary structure includes four short double-helical elements and three loops (D, anti-codon, and T loops). RNAcentral also lists the same sequence under 1 other name. The record is from RNAcentral. Lineage: Bacteria; Pseudomonadati; Bacteroidota; Bacteroidia; Bacteroidales; Rikenellaceae.
GCAGAAAUAGCUCAGUUGGUAGAGCACAACCUUGCCAAGGUUGGGGUCGCGAGUUCGAGUCUCGUUUUCUGCU